RNAcentral lists this ribosomal RNA (564 nucleotides) under uncultured bacterium. RNAcentral's name for it is "bacterial SSU rRNA". It matches the Rfam family "Bacterial small subunit ribosomal RNA", at positions 358 to 916 of the family's 1533-position model. The record is from RNAcentral.
GGAAUUUUGGACAAUGGGGGCAACCCUGAUCCAGCAAUGCCGCGUGAGUGAAGAAGGCCUUCGGGUUGUAAAGCUCUUUUGUCAGGGAAGAAACAGCAGCUCUAACACAGUCUGCGAAUGACGGUACCUGAAGAAUAAGCACCGGCUAACUACGUGCCAGCAGCCGCGGUAAUACGUAGGGUGCAAGCGUUAAUCGGAAUUACUGGGCGUAAAGCGUGCGCAGGCGGUUAUGUAAGACAGGCGUGAAAUCCCCGGGCUUAACCUGGGAAUUGCGCUUGUGACUGCAUAGCUAGAGUAUGUCAGAGGGGGGUAGAAUUCCACGUGUAGCAGUGAAAUGCGUAGAGAUGUGGAGGAAUACCAAUGGCGAAGGCAGCCCCCUGGGACAAUACUGACGCUCAUGCACGAAAGCGUGGGGAGCAAACAGGAUUAGAUACCCUGGUAGUCCACGCCCUAAACGAUGCUGACUAGUUGUUCGGGAAUUUAUUCCUGAGUAACGUAGCUAACGCGUGAAGUCAGCCGCCUGGGGAGUACGGUCGCAAGAUUAAAACUCAAAGGAAUUGACGG